CCGCCCGGCGCAGAAGGAGCAAGGACGCAAGCGCCGCUGGGCGUGGGAAAAAUGAAGCCGGUUGGGAGGAGAGAGACGUGGAGGUCUCCAGGAAUUCUUCAAUGACUCUAAUUCAAAUGGACAAUACCAGGAAUCUACUGUUGGGAGACUCCCUCCAAGCCGUUCUGGAGAAAUGUGUAAACCAGUUUUCAGGAGCUCUGCUGGAAAACUCAGAUCUUGGUGAAGGAACUCUUGAACAAAGGAACCUUGAAAUGGAAAAAAGAAUGCCUGCGAACUGAGGAGAUACACAUUGAUUGGAGGGCCAGAGCAGCAGAGGGGCAGAAGCUGUAGGGGUAAAUCCUGUCUCAUUCAACCCCAGUGCUGGGGCCCCCUGGGUAAUGUGGAGCCUACUUAAACUGGCACGGAAAGGCUAAGUUGAGGCUACCACUAGGGUCUGGACAACAGCUCAGGUAACUCAAGUAACACCAUUGUGACAUCAGAGAUAACUGAACCAGUCACCUCUACAGCUUCAAGCCAUUGGAUCUUGUUGUGCCUCUGCUUUCUAGAUGAAAGAGCUCUUUAUCAUCAGAAAUCUUCUCCUCAAGUAGGUACUUGCAUGGUGAUCAAGUUACUUCUCAACCUUUUGUUUAUUAAGCUAAGUAGAUUGUGCUUCUUUAGUCUCUCACUGUAAGGCAAGUUUUCCAGUGCUCAACUCAUUCUUUUUUGAACUCUUCCAGUUUAUUGAUGUAAACCAGAGGGGUCUGAAUGAGUUUCCCCCUGCCAUCUAUUGAUGAACUGGGGAAAAAGACUUCAGGAGCAAACCAUAUUUACACAGACACACCUACAUUGCCUAAGAGAUCAGCAAACAGACCUGGUUGGCCAAAGUGAUUAAUUGUGGCUGUUUUGGGCAAAGGGGUGAUGAAAUGUGGUUAUCCUUAUUGUAGGACUAAAAGGCAGCAGAAUUGUACUUACUAUGCUUACUUGGUAACUGAUGCCAACUCCAAGUGAAAGUCAAAGUCCGGGGUCGGGGACACACAGGUGUUCCUACUUGCUGGGGCAGACUCUAUUUAAAAGAUCUUAGAUACCAUUUGAUUCUUCUCUUCCAAUGUCUAAACACAGAUCGAGUUAGACUCAGUUAGAAGUCUGUGUUUCUUCUCAGUGAUCACUAGAGCUGAAAAGGUAAUAAACUGGUUUAGGGGCCUUAGACUUAGACCGGGUACAAGGACAGUGUUGCAAUGAAAGACAGCACAAAAGAGACAGCAACAGUGAGAUUCCCCACUACGCAGUGAAACCACUAAUAGCUGAAAUCACUAAGGACUAGGCUAGGUGGUGGAACCUCAGAGUAUGCAGUUAACAGCUGCUUCUGGAGAGGCAGUGUUGUCACUGACAUCUCACACCUCUUCAGGGCUGGGGGUGAACCCAACUGAACUUUGCUGACCUCAGACAACAAAUUGAGUGUGCUGCAGUGGAGAGAAAAGGAGAGUGACAUGUUAAAGGGACAUUAAUAAAUCAUAAGUGAUCAUCAAUGAUCUGGAAAAAGGGAUAAACAGUGAGCUGGCAAAGUUUGCAGUUGAUACAAAAUUGCUCAAGAUAGUUAAACCCAAAGCUGACUGUGAAGAGUUACAAAGGGUUCUCACAAAAUUCAGUGACUGGAGAACAAAAUGGCAGAUGAAAUCCAAUGUUGAUAAUUGCAAAGUAAUCCACAUUAGAAAACAUCAUCCUGACUACAUAUAGAAAAUGACAGGAUCUACACACAACAAAGAGAUCUUGGACUCAUUAUGAAUAGGUCU
Gopherus flavomarginatus (Mexican gopher tortoise) is the source of this 1769-nucleotide long non-coding RNA. RefSeq lists it as uncharacterized. The transcript has 4 exons. NCBI's taxonomy places the organism in Eukaryota, Metazoa, Chordata, Testudines, Testudinidae. The record is from RefSeq and is a predicted model, not a curated record.